AUUGAACGCUGGCGGCAUGCUUUACACAUGCAAGUCGAACGGCAGCGCGGGCUUCGGCCUGGCGGCGAGUGGCGAACGGGUGAGUAAUACAUCGGAACGCGCCCAGUAGUGGGGGAUAGCUCGGCGAAAGCCGGAUUAAUACCGCAUACGACCUGAGGGUGAAAGCGGGGGAUCUUCGGACCUCGCGCUAUUGGAGCGGCCGAUGGCAGAUUAGCUAGUUGGUGGGGUAAAGGCCUACCAAGGCGACGAUCUGUAGCUGGUCUGAGAGGACGACCAGCCACACUGGGACUGAGACACGGCCCAGACUCCUACGGGAGGCAGCAGUGGGGAAUUUUGGACAAUGGGCGAAAGCCUGAUCCAGCAAUGCCGCGUGUGUGAUGAAGGCCUUCGGGUUGUAAAGCACUUUUGGCGGGAACGAAAAGGACUGUGCCAAUACCACGGUUCGAUGACGGUACCCGCAGAAUAAGCACCGGCUAACUACCUG
This 484-nucleotide ribosomal RNA is filed under the name uncultured bacterium. RNAcentral describes it as "partial 16S ribosomal RNA". It matches the Rfam family "Bacterial small subunit ribosomal RNA", at positions 29 to 507 of the family's 1533-position model. The record is from RNAcentral.